Molecule: ribosomal RNA, 536 nt
Filed under: uncultured bacterium
Lineage: Bacteria
Description: bacterial SSU rRNA
Rfam family: Bacterial small subunit ribosomal RNA
Source: RNAcentral
GGCAGCAGUGGGGAAUUUUGGACAAUGGGGGCAAGCCUGAUCCAGCCAUGCCGCGUGAGUGAAGAAGGCCUUCGGGUUGUAAAGCUCUUUCAGGUGGAAAGAAAAMGCAUGGGUCAAUACCCUGUGUGGAUGACGGUACCAUCAGAAGAAGCACCGGCUAAMUACGUGCCAGCAGCCGCGGUAAUACGUAGGGUGCGAGCGUUAAUCGGAAUUACUGGGCGUAAAGCGUGCGCAGGCGGUGAUGUAAGACAGAUGUGAAAUCYCCGGGCUCAACCUGGGAACUGCGUUUGUGACUGCAUCACUCGAGUACGGCAGAGGGAGGUGGAAUUCCGCGUGUAGCAGUGAAAUGCGUAGAUAUGCGGAGGAACACCGAUGGCGAAGGCAGCCUCCUGGGCCAGUACUGACGCUCAUGCACGAAAGCGUGGGGAGCAAACAGGAUUAGAUACCCUGGUAGUCCACGCCCUAAACGAUGUCAACUAGUUGUUCGGUGAGGAGACUCAUUGAGUAACGCAGCUAACGCGUGAAGUGACCGCAUG